CUGAUCUCUUACUAGAACGAAGUCAACAAGAGCUACCCUUGGACUCUGGAUGCCUGGGAGGGUCUGGAGCCGUCGGGCAGAAGGAGAAGGUGGAGCGGGUCUUCCCGGAGGCCGGCUCCCACGGGGGUGGCCAAGGCUCUGGGCCUCUCGGCAUGCCUCUGCGGAUCCUGUUGGAUCCAGAACCGUCUGGAUCACCUGAAGAGUUAUUUGAUACCAGCUGAUUUUCUAAGGGGACAGCCAGAAAUACAGCCAUUUGGAUUGACAAAGGUGCAACAGCAAUUCAAUGGGGAAAUAGUCAGUAGUCGGUUUAACCAAUGGUAUUGGAAAAAUUGGACAUCGAUAUGUGAAAAAAUGAACCUGGGCCGGGCGCAGUGGCUCACGCCUGUAAUCCCAGCACUUUGGGAGACUGACGCAGGUGGAUCACAAGGUCAAGAGAUCGAGACCAUCCUGGCCAUCAUGCCAAAGCAGGAAGAAAGAGGCCACAUGAGGCCACGUAGCCACACCAAUCUCAAGGGAGGCCGGGAAAUUAAGUAUCUGACGAAAAAGAGCAGGAGUUCCACCUUAAAUGAAGCAGGAGCCAGGCCUGAGAGCAGGACGCACUGCCAUGCUGAACAGAGGGCCUGGUCCCUAAAGCAGGAAGGAGUCAAGGAUCGCAGUCGGGAUUGACAAAUGAUAUCUCUGCAAUAUUAAAAAAUAAUCUAUCUACUUGCAAAUUUGAAAAAAUUCUAGAUAACUUGGGUUAAAAAGAAAAUGAACACUUUGGGAGGUUGAGGCGGGCAGAUCACGAGGUCAGGAGAUCGAGACCAUCCUGGCUAACACGGUGAAAUCCCGUCUCUACUAAAAAUACAAAAAAUUAGCUGGGCACAGUGGCGGGCGGCUGUAGUCCCAGCUACUCGGGAGGCUGAGGCAGGAGAAUGGCGUGAACCCGGGAGGCAGAGCUUGCAGUGAGCCAAGAUAGCGCCACUGCACUCCAGCCUGGGUGAAAGAGCAAGACUCCGUCUCAAAAAAAACAAAAAAAAGAAAGAAAGAAAAUGAAAAACUAUUUAGAAAUAAUUGGGAAUAGAUUAACUAAAAUUCAGAAGAGGAGAAAAAAUCUAAAGAAGGGGAAAAGUCUAAAGAGAAGGAUAACCCAUAGAAAAAAAUGGAAGGGUAAUCAGAGGACUACAGGCCCACACUGCUGUGCAGGCAUAUUCUGCAUUUCUAAGGAAUAAUGACAUUCAUAUUAAUAUUAUACUUAUAAAAGCUAUUCCACAGAAUAUAAAAAGAUGAUCUCCAACUCAUUCAAUAAAGCUAGUAUUACCCUGACACCAAAUCCAGACAUAACUAGUGCAGAAAAUAUAUACGCCACCCCACUUGUGCAAAUGAUACAAAAAAAUUCCAACUAAAACAUGAGCAAAUACAAGAAUGUGAUGUACUAGAAGAUCACAUUUUUCCUAGGAAUGAAAAGAUGGUUCGAGGUUAGGGAACCUAUCAGUGUAAUUUCCUGCAAUAACAGUUAAAAGAGACCGACGAUAUGACCGUCUCAGUAAACAUAGCAGAUAGUGCGUUGCUGCUCCAUCCUCUACCUGACCUUCUGAGGUCUUCUUGCAGGGAUUAGAAGUCUGGAAGCUCCAUUUCCCAGGCUCUCUGGCAAUGGUUCCAGUUUAGUUUCUACCACUGAGAGGUACUCAUUAGUUUGGCAAAAGGUGAAGAAGGCUGGACUGGAGAGGUGAUUGCUGUUGGACAGGUCACAGACUGCCUGAGCCUGGUUCCACACCAUUCACAGAAGAUUAUCAUGGGAAUCCUCCUGGAGCUGUGCAACGUGCAUGCCCUGCCUUGGGGCAGGGAGGGGUUCUGCAAUAUAAUUUUUGCAGAAAAGAAUGGGCAUCAUCUUUUCAAAAUAUUCGGUACUAAGGGUUCCCCCUGAAAGAUGUAAGUUUCCUUCUGUUGGCUGAAAUAAUAUAAGAAAUGGAAAAAGUACACUUUCAAGAAUUUCAAUUUAGAUACUGUUUGUAUUUGUGUGUGUAUGCAAAACAGUUCUUGUAUUUUUAUGUACAAGAUUUGGCACAAUAAAUGCUGAUUUUCUUGGGGCUGUGGAUAACA
Long non-coding RNA from Pan troglodytes (chimpanzee), 2082 nucleotides. RefSeq lists it as uncharacterized. The transcript has 3 exons. The record is from RefSeq and is a predicted model, not a curated record. Lineage: Eukaryota; Metazoa; Chordata; Mammalia; Primates; Hominidae.